Molecule: long non-coding RNA, 378 nt
Filed under: Felis catus (domestic cat)
Lineage: Eukaryota; Metazoa; Chordata; Mammalia; Carnivora; Felidae
Description: lncRNA (ENSFCAG00000041453.2)
Source: RNAcentral
CUUUAGAAAGGAAUUCUGCGGAUCCCUAAUCCUUUCAGAUUCUCUUCAGAAGAAGUGUUAUGUAGCCUUUUAACUUAGAUAAUUCUCAUUCAAGUCUUUGCACUUUCAGACUCCUGUGCGGACACAUACAAAUGACUCUGAGACACUUCUUAUUGAUUUGGCCCUGCCUUCCUGAGAGGGCAAGAACGAGGUGAUCGAAUUGUCUUCAUAAACUCUGGCGUGAAAAUAUAAAUUUGCCAUACAAUUUCCCAACAUAUUAUUGUAACUUUUCAUUCCCUCUCCUCUGUACAGAAGUCUCCCCAUCGCCACCAGCAUUCCAGUUGGACCUCAGGAGCCUAAAGGAUUUUGGAUGAUCGUCUCCCAUGCUCAGAUGCUCGG